This 259-nucleotide ribosomal RNA is filed under the name Trichonephila sexpunctata. Its description in RNAcentral is "Nephila sexpunctata partial 12S ribosomal RNA". Lineage: Eukaryota; Metazoa; Arthropoda; Arachnida; Araneae; Nephilidae. The record is from RNAcentral.
AACCUGUUAAAUAAUUGAUAAUCCCCGAUAAUUUUCACUUUUAUUUAAAUUUUAUAUACCUCCAUCUUAAGAAUUUAUUUUAUAAUUUUAUUCUUAAUAAUAAUAAUUUAAUAAGUUAGGUAAAGGUGUAGACUACAUAAAAGUUAUAAUGGGUUACCUUAAAUAAAAUUUAAGGAAAAAAAAAAAAAUUUUUUUUUGAAAAAGGAUUUAUAAGUAAUGUUUAAAUAAUAUUUAAACUUGAAUAUGAUAACAAAUGUGC